CCUACGGGUGGGCUGCAGUGGGGAAUAUUGGACAAUGGGCGAAAGCCUGAUCCAGCCAUGCCGCGUGUGUGAAGAAGGCCUUCGGGUUGUAAAGCACUUUCAGUGGGGAAGAAAGCCUUGGGGCUAAUACCCUCGAGGAAGGACAUCACCCACAGAAGAAGCACCGGCUAACUCCGUGCCAGCAGCCGCGGUAAUACGGAGGGUGCGAGCGUUAAUCGGAAUUACUGGGCGUAAAGCGCGCGUAGGCGGUCUGAUAAGCCGGUUGUGAAAGCCCCGGGCUCAACCUGGGAACGGCAUCCGGAACUGUCAGGCUAGAGUGCAGGAGAGGAAGGUAGAAUUCCCGGUGUAGCGGUGAAAUGCGUAGAGAUCGGGAGGAAUACCAGUGGCGAAGGCGGCCUUCUGGACUGACACUGACGCUGAGGUGCGAAAGCGUGGGUAGCAAACAGGAUUAGAUACCCGAGUAGUC
RNAcentral lists this ribosomal RNA (466 nucleotides) under Vreelandella stevensii. RNAcentral describes it as "partial 16S ribosomal RNA". It matches the Rfam family "Bacterial small subunit ribosomal RNA", at positions 338 to 795 of the family's 1533-position model. Lineage: Bacteria; Pseudomonadati; Pseudomonadota; Gammaproteobacteria; Oceanospirillales; Halomonadaceae. The record is from RNAcentral.